UUUGCCUACGGGAGGCAGCAGUAGGGAAUUUUCGUCAAUGGGCGCAAGCCUGAACGAACAAUGCCGCGUGAACGAGGAAGGUCUUCGGAUCGUAAAGUUCUGUUGAAGGGGAAAAAGAGCGGAGAGAGGAAAUGGUCUCCGAUUGAUAUUACCCUUCGAGGAAGUCACGGCUAACUACGUGCCAGCAGCCGCGGUAAUACGUAGGUGGCGAGCGUUAUCCGGAAUGAUUGGGCGUAAAGGGUGCGUAGGCGGCGUGCUAAGUCUGGAGUGAAGGGUAACGGCUCAAACGGUAUAGGCUCUGGAAA
RNAcentral lists this ribosomal RNA (305 nucleotides) under uncultured bacterium. RNAcentral describes it as "bacterial SSU rRNA". It matches the Rfam family "Bacterial small subunit ribosomal RNA", at positions 334 to 632 of the family's 1533-position model. The record is from RNAcentral.